GGUUAAGUGAAUAAGGGCGCACGGUGGAUGCCUUGGCACUAGGAGCCGAUGAAGGACGGGACUAACACCGAUAUGCUUUGGGGAGCUGUACGUAAGCUAUGAUCCAGAGAUUUCCGAAUGGGGGAACCCAACAUCUUUAAUAGGAUGUUACGAUUGUGUGAAUACAUAGCACAUUCGAGGUAGACGCAGAGAACUGAAACAUCUAAGUACCUGCAGGAAGAGAAAGAAAAUUCGAUUCCCUGAGUAGCGGCGAGCGAAACGGGAAAAGCCCAAACCAGCAAGCUUGCUUGUUGGGGUUGUAGGACUCCAAUAUGGUAGUUCUUUCAGAUAGUCGAAUGACUUGGAAAAGUCAGUCAAAGAGGGUAAAAACCCCGUAGACGAAAUGUGGAAGACACCUAGGAGGAUCCUGAGUACGGCGGAACACGAGAAAUUCCGUCGGAAUCCGGGAGGACCAUCUCCCAAGGCUAAAUACUCCCUAGUGACCGAUAGUGAACCAGUACCGUGAGGGAAAGGUGAAAAGCACCCCGGAAGGGGAGUGAAAUAGAACCUGAAACCGUGUGCCUACAACAAGUCAAAGCCCGUUAAUGGGUGAUGGCGUGCCUUUUGUAGAAUGAACCGGCGAGUUACGAUUGCAUGCGAGGUUAAGUUGAAGAGACGGAGCCGCAGCGAAAGCGAGUCUGAAUAGGGCGUUUGAGUAUGUAGUCGUAGACCCGAAACCAUGUGAUCUACCCAUGUCCAGGUUGAAGGUGCGGUAAAACGCACUGGAGGACCGAACCCACGUACGUUGAAAAGUGCGGGGAUGAGGUGUGGGUAGCGGAGAAAUUCCAAACGAACUUGGAGAUAGCUGGUUCUCUCCGAAAUAGCUUUAGGGCUAGCCUCGGAAUUGAGAAUGAUGGAGGUAGAGCACUGUUUGGACUAGGGGCCCAUCUCGGGUUACCGAAUUCAGAUAAACUCCGAAUGCCAUUCAUUCAUAUCCGGGAGUCAGACUGUGAGUGAUAAGAUCCAUAGUCGAAAGGGAAACAGCCCAGACCACCAGCUAAGGUCCCAAAAUAUAUGUUAAGUGGAAAAGGAUGUGGGGUUGCACAGACAACUAGGAUGUUGGCUUAGAAGCAGCCACCAUUUAAAGAGUGCGUAAUAGCUCACUAGUCGAGUGACCCUGCGCCGAAAAUGUACCGGGGCUAAACAUAUUACCGAAGCUGUGGAGUACACCUUUAGGUGUAUUGGUAGGAGAGCGUUCUAAGGGCGUUGAAGGCAGAUCGUGAGGACUGCUGGAGCGCUUAGAAGUGAGAAUGCCGGUAUGAGUAGCGAAAGACAGGUGAGAAUCCUGUCCACCGAAUGACUAAGGUUUCCUGGGGAAGGCUCGUCCGCCCAGGGUUAGUCGGGACCUAAGCCGAGGCCGACAGGCGUAGGCGAUGGAUAACAGGUUGAUAUUCCUGUACCCGUUGUUUUUGUUUGAGCAAUGGAGGGACGCAGGAGGCUAAGGAAUGCAGACGAUCGGAAAUGUCUGUCCAAGCAGUAAGUCUGAAGAGGAGUCAAAUG
RNAcentral lists this ribosomal RNA (1539 nucleotides) under Enterococcus faecium. RNAcentral's name for it is "partial 23S ribosomal RNA". It matches the Rfam family "Bacterial large subunit ribosomal RNA", at positions 1 to 1542 of the family's 2925-position model. Lineage: Bacteria; Bacillati; Bacillota; Bacilli; Lactobacillales; Enterococcaceae. The record is from RNAcentral.